RNAcentral lists this ribosomal RNA (253 nucleotides) under uncultured prokaryote. RNAcentral's name for it is "partial 16S ribosomal RNA". It matches the Rfam family "Bacterial small subunit ribosomal RNA", at positions 525 to 777 of the family's 1533-position model. The record is from RNAcentral.
ACGAAGGGGGCUAGCGUUGCUCGGAAUUACUGGGCGUAAAGGGCGCGUAGGCGGAUCAGCAAGUUGGGGGUGAAAGCCCGGGGCUCAACCCGGGAACUGCGUCCGGGACUGGUGCGCUGGAGUUCGGGAGAGGAGAGUGGAAUUCCCAGUGUAGAGGUGAAAUUCGUAGAUAUUGGGAAGAACACCGAUGGCGAAGGCAGCUCUCUGGACCGACACUGACGCUGAGGCGCGAAAGCGUGGGGAGCAAACAGGA